This 66-nucleotide transfer RNA is filed under the name Marmota monax (woodchuck). RNAcentral describes it as "tRNA.Ala". The record is from RNAcentral. Lineage: Eukaryota; Metazoa; Chordata; Mammalia; Rodentia; Sciuridae.
GGAUUGUGGAUCAGUGGUAGAGCGCUUGCCUAGCAUGGCGGGACCUGGGUUCGAUCCCCAGCACCA